Molecule: ribosomal RNA, 494 nt
Filed under: uncultured bacterium
Lineage: Bacteria
Description: SSU rRNA
Rfam family: Bacterial small subunit ribosomal RNA
Source: RNAcentral
AGGACGAACGCUGGCGGCGUGCCUAACACAUGCAAGUCGAACGAGGUCCAACCGGUAGCAAUACCGGUGAAGAUCAAGUGGCGAACGGGUGAGUAGCACGUGAGCAACCUGCCCCGAAGACCGGGACAACACCGGGAAACCGGUGCUAAUACCGGAUAUCCCCACUGAGUCGCAUGGCUCGGUGAGGAAAUGGAUUCCGCUUCGGGAGGGGCUCGCGGCCUAUCAGCUUGUUGGUGAGGUAACGGCUCACCAAGGCUUCGACGGGUAGCUGGUCUGAGAGGACGAUCAGCCACACUGGGACUGAGACACGGCCCAGACUCCUACGGGAGGCAGCAGUGGGGAAUCUUGCACAAUGGGCGCAAGCCUGAUGCAGCAACGCCGCGUGAGGGACGAAGGCUUUCUGAGUUGUAAACCUCUUUCAGCAGGGACGAUUGUGACGGUACCUGCAGAAGAACGCCCGGCCAACUACGUGCCAGCAGCCGCGGUAAUCGUGA